GGGUUGUGAGGUUAAGCGACUAAGCGUACACGGUGGAUGCCCUGGCAGUCAGAGGCGAUGAAGGACGUGCUAAUCUGCGAUAAGCGCCGGUAAGGUGAUAUGAACCGUUAUAACCGGCGAUAUCCGAAUGGGGAAACCCAGUGUGACUCGUCACACUAUCAUUAACUGAAUCCAUAGGUUAAUGAGGCGAACCGGGGGAACUGAAACAUCUAAGUACCCCGAGGAAAAGAAAUCAACCGAGAUUCCCCCAGUAGCGGCGAGCGAACGGGGAGGAGCCCAGAGCCUGAAUCAGCAUGUGUGUUAGUGGAAGCGUCUGGAAAGGCGCGCGAUACAGGGUGACAGCCCCGUACACAAAAGCGCAUGUGCUGUGAGCUCGAUGAGUAGGGCGGGACACGUGGUAUCCUGUCUGAAUAUGGGGGGACCAUCCUCCAAGGCUAAAUACUCCUGACUGACCGAUAGUGAACCAGUACCGUGAGGGAAAGGCGAAAAGAACCCCGGCGAGGGGAGUGAAAAAGAACCUGAAACCGUGUACGUACAAGCAGUGGGAGCACAGGUUUACCUGUGUGACUGCGUACCUUUUGUAUAAUGGGUCAGCGACUUAUAUUCUGUAGCAAGGUUAACCGAAUAGGGGAGCCGGAGGGAAACCGAGUCUUAAUUGGGCGUUAAGUUGCAGGGUAUAGACCCGAAACCCGGUGAUCUAGCCAUGGGCAGGUUGAAGGUUGGGUAACACUAACUGGAGGACCGAACCGACUAAUGUUGAAAAAUUAGCGGAUGACCUGUGGCUGGGGGUGAAAGGCCAAUCAAACCGGGAGAUAGCUGGUUCUCCCCGAAAGCUAUUUAGGUAGCGCCUCGUGAAUUCAUCUCCGGGGGUAGAGCACUGUUUCGGCUAGGGGGCCAUCCCGGCUUACCAACCCGAUGCAAACUGCGAAUACCGGAGAAUGUUAUCACGGGAGACACACGGCGGGUGCUAACGUCCGUCGUGAAGAGGGAAACAACCCAGACCGCCAGCUAAGGUCCCAAAGUCAUGGUUAAGUGGGAAACGAUGUGGGAAGGCCCAGACAGCCAGGAUGUUGGCUUAGAAGCAGCCAUCAUUUAAAGAAAGCGUAAUAGCUCACUGGUCGAGUCGGCCUGCGCGGAAGAUGUAACGGGGCUAAACCAUGCACCGAAGCUGCGGCAGCGACGCUGAUGCGUUGUUGGGUAGGGGAGCGUUCUGUAAGCCUGCGAAGGUGGCCUGUGAGGGUUGCUGGAGGUAUCAGAAGUGCGAAUGCUGACAUAAGUAACGAUAAAGCGGGUGAAAAGCCCGCUCGCCGGAAGACCAAGGGUUCCUGUCCAACGUUAAUCGGGGCAGGGUGAGUCGACCCCUAAGGCGAGGCCGAAAGGCGUAGUCGAUGGGAAACGGGUUAAUAUUCCCGUACUUGGUGUUACUGCGAAGGGGGGACGGAGAAGGCUAUGUUGGCCGGGCGACGGUUGUCCCGGUUUAAGCGUGUAGGUGUGUGUUCCAGGUAAAUCCGGUUCACUUUAACACUGAGGCGUGAUGACGAGGCACUACGGUGCUGAAGCAACAAAUGCCCUGCUUCCAGGAAAAGCCUCUAAGCAUCAGGUAACAUCAAAUCGUACCCCAAACCGACACAGGUGGUCAGGUAGAGAAUACCAAGGCGCUUGAGAGAACUCGGGUGAAGGAACUAGGCAAAAUGGUGCCGUAACUUCGGGAGAAGGCACGCUGACACGUAGGUGAAGUGAUUUACUCAUGGAGCUGAAGUCAGUCGAAGAUACCAGCUGGCUGCAACUGUUUAUUAAAAACACAGCACUGUGCAAACACGAAAGUGGACGUAUACGGUGUGACGCCUGCCCGGUGCCGGAAGGUUAAUUGAUGGGGUCAGCGCAAGCGAAGCUCCUGAUCGAAGCCCCGGUAAACGGCGGCCGUAACUAUAACGGUCCUAAGGUAGCGAAAUUCCUUGUCGGGUAAGUUCCGACCUGCACGAAUGGCGUAAUGAUGGCCAGGCUGUCUCCACCCGAGACUCAGUGAAAUUGAACUCGCUGUGAAGAUGCAGUGUACCCGCGGCAAGACGGAAAGACCCCGUGAACCUUUACUAUAGCUUGACACUGAACAUUGAGCCUUGAUGUGUAGGAUAGGUGGGAGGCUUUGAAGUGUGGACGCCAGUCUGCAUGGAGCCGACCUUGAAAUACCACCCUUUAAUGUUUGAUGUUCUAACGUGGACCCGUGAUCCGGGUUGCGGACAGUGUCUGGUGGGUAGUUUGACUGGGGCGGUCUCCUCCUAAAGAGUAACGGAGGAGCACGAAGGUUGGCUAAUCCUGGUCGGACAUCAGGAGGUUAGUGCAAUGGCAUAAGCCAGCUUGACUGCGAGCGUGACGGCGCGAGCAGGUGCGAAAGCAGGUCAUAGUGAUCCGGUGGUUCUGAAUGGAAGGGCCAUCGCUCAACGGAUAAAAGGUACUCCGGGGAUAACAGGCUGAUACCGCCCAAGAGUUCAUAUCGACGGCGGUGUUUGGCACCUCGAUGUCGGCUCAUCACAUCCUGGGGCUGAAGUAGGUCCCAAGGGUAUGGCUGUUCGCCAUUUAAAGUGGUACGCGAGCUGGGUUUAGAACGUCGUGAGACAGUUCGGUCCCUAUCUGCCGUGGGCGCUGGAGAACUGAGGGGGGCUGCUCCUAGUACGAGAGGACCGGAGUGGACGCAUCACUGGUGUUCGGGUUGUCAUGCCAAUGGCACUGCCCGGUAGCUAAAUGCGGAAGAGAUAAGUGCUGAAAGCAUCUAAGCACGAAACUUGCCCCGAGAUGAGUUCUCCCUGAGACUUAAAGUCUCCUGAAGGAACGUUGAAGACGACGACGUUGAUAGGCCGGGUGUGUAAGCGCAGCGAUGCGUUGAGCUAACCGGUACUAAUGAACCGUGAGGCUUAACCUUACAACGCCGAAG
RNAcentral lists this ribosomal RNA (2929 nucleotides) under Salmonella enterica. RNAcentral's name for it is "bacterial LSU rRNA". It matches the Rfam family "Bacterial large subunit ribosomal RNA". Lineage: Bacteria; Pseudomonadati; Pseudomonadota; Gammaproteobacteria; Enterobacterales; Enterobacteriaceae. The record is from RNAcentral.